GGUCCCAUCGUCUAGUGGCUAGGACGCUACCCUCUCACGGUAGAAACACGGGUUCGAUCCCCGUUGGGACUACCA
Molecule: transfer RNA, 75 nt
Filed under: bacterium
Lineage: Bacteria
Description: tRNA-Glu
Rfam family: tRNA
About the family: Transfer RNA (tRNA) molecules are approximately 80 nucleotides in length.
Source: RNAcentral